AAAGGUAAGCUACUAAGAGCGAAUGGUGGAUGCCUUGACUGGUAAAGGCGAUGAAGGACGUACUAGACUGCGAUAAGCUACGGGGAGCUGUCAAGAAGCUUUGAUCCGUAGAUUUCCGAAUGGGGCAACCCAAUGUAUAGAGAUAUACAUUACCUAUAUAGGAGCGAACGAGGGGAAUUGAAACAUCUUAGUACCCUCAGGAAAAGAAAUCAAUAGAGAUUGCGUCAGUAGCGGCGAGCGAAAGCGCAAGAGGGCAAACCCAGUGCUUGCACUGGGGGUUGUAGGACUGCAAUGUGCAAGAGCUGAGUUUAGCAGAACAUUCUGGAAAGUAUAGCCAUAGAGGGUGAUAGUCCCGUAUGCGAAAAACAAAGCUUAGCUAGCAGUAUCCUGAGUAGGGCGGGACACGAGGAAUCCUGUCUGAAUCCGGGUCGACCACGAUCCAACCCUAAAUACUAAUACCAGAUCGAUAGUGCACAAGUACCGUGAGGGAAAGGUGAAAAGAACUGAGGUGAUCAGAGUGAAAUAGAACCUGAAACCAUUUGCUUACAAUCAUUCAGAGCACUAUGUAGCAAUACAGUGUGAUGGACUGCCUUU
Molecule: ribosomal RNA, 594 nt
Filed under: Campylobacter jejuni
Lineage: Bacteria; Pseudomonadati; Campylobacterota; Epsilonproteobacteria; Campylobacterales; Campylobacteraceae
Description: partial 23S ribosomal RNA
Rfam family: Bacterial large subunit ribosomal RNA
Source: RNAcentral